RNAcentral lists this ribosomal RNA (465 nucleotides) under uncultured bacterium. Its description in RNAcentral is "partial 16S ribosomal RNA". It matches the Rfam family "Bacterial small subunit ribosomal RNA", at positions 28 to 507 of the family's 1533-position model. The record is from RNAcentral.
GACGAACGCUGGCGGCGUGCCUAACACAUGCAAGUCGAACGGUAAGGCCCCUUUGGGGGUACCCGUGUGGCGAACGGGUGAGUAACACGUGAGUAACCUGCCCUUGACUUCGGGAUAACUUCAGGAAACUGGGACUAAUACCUGAUAGGAAUUAUUGCUGCAUGGUGGGGGUUGGAAAGCUUCGGCGGUGUUGGGUGGGCUGGCGGCGUAUCAGCUUGUGCGGGGGGUAGUGGCUUACCAAGGCUUGGACGGGUAGCCGGCCUUGGGGGGUGACCCGCCACACUGGAACUGAGGGACGGCCCAGACGCCGACGGGUGCCAGAAGUGGGGAAUAUUGAUCAAGGGGCGGAGGCCGUAUGCAGCAACGCCGCGGGCGGGAUAGUGGUCUUCGGGUUGAGAACGGCAGUCAGCUGGAGCCAAGCUUUUAGUGACGGUACCUGCAGAAGAAGCACCGGCUAACUACGUG